This 349-nucleotide ribosomal RNA is filed under the name Strombidinopsis acuminata. Its description in RNAcentral is "partial Bacterial large subunit ribosomal RNA". It matches the Rfam family "Bacterial large subunit ribosomal RNA", at positions 1609 to 1963 of the family's 2925-position model. The record is from RNAcentral. Lineage: Eukaryota; Ciliophora; Spirotrichea; Choreotrichida; Strombidinopsidae.
CAAGAAAAACCUCUAAGCUUCAGAUAAAUACAACCCGUACCGCAAACCGACACAGGUAGUCAAGGAGAGAAUCCUAAGGUGCUCGAGUGAUUCAUGGCUAAGGAACUAGGCAAAAUGGCCCUGUAACUUCGGGAGAAGGGGCGCUUCCUCUGUAAAGAGAAGCCGCAGUGAAUAGGCCCAGGCGACUGUUUAUCAAAAACACAUGGCUUUGCAAAAUCGAAAGAUGAAGUAUAAGGCCUGACACCUGCCCGGUGCCGGAAGGUUAAGUGGAGAUGUUAGCUUCGGCGACGCAUUCAAAUGAAGCCCCGGUAAACGGCGGCCGUAACGAUAACGGUCCUAAGGUAGCGAA